CAUAACCUUUAGCUAAACCAGUAUUAAAGGCAACGCCUGCCCAGUGAAUAAUUAAACGGCCGCGGUACCCUAACCGUGCAAAGGUAGCGUAAUCAUUUGUCUAUUAAUUGUAGACCCGUAUGAAAGGCAUAAUGAGGGUUUAACUGUCUCUUUUAGUAAAUCAAUUAAACUGAUCUCCUAGUCCAAAAGCUAGGAUACCACCAUAAGACCAGAAGACCCUGUGAAACUUUAACUAAAAUAUUAAAGCCUAUAAUAACUACUUUAGGUUGGGGCGACCUUGGAAAAUAAAAGAACUUCCACACAUAUUAUACAAUAAUAUAUAACCGGCCAACAAGCCUACAACGACCCAGCACAGCUGAUAAUUGAACCAAGCUACUCCAGGGAUAACAGCGCUAUCUUCUUCAAGAGCCCAUAUCAAAAAGAAGGUUUACGACCUCGAUGUUGGAUCAGGACAUCCUAAUGGUGCAACCGCUAUUAAGGGUUCGUUUGUUCAACGAUUAAUAGUCCUACGUGAUCU
This 517-nucleotide ribosomal RNA is filed under the name Hydrophis viperinus (viperine sea snake). Its description in RNAcentral is "partial 16S ribosomal RNA". It matches the Rfam family "Bacterial large subunit ribosomal RNA", at positions 1814 to 2606 of the family's 2925-position model. The record is from RNAcentral. Lineage: Eukaryota; Metazoa; Chordata; Lepidosauria; Squamata; Elapidae.